AUUGAACGCUGGCGGCAGGCCUAACACAUGCAAGUCGAGCGCGCGGCGGACGGGUGAGUAAAGUCUGGGAAACUGCCUGAUGGGGGGGGAUAACUCCUGGAAACGGUAGCUAAUCCCCCAUACCAUCAACUGUGCCCAGAUGGGGUUAGCUAGUAGGUGGGGUAACGGCUACCCUAGGGGACGAUCCCCAGCUGGUCUGAGAGGAUGACCAGCCACACGGAAACUGAGCCACGGUCCAGACUCCUACGGGAGGCAGCAGUGGGGAAUAUUGGACAAUGGGCGCAAGCCUGAGACAGCAAUGCCGCGUGGGGGAAGAGGGCCUUCGGGUUGUAAAGCACGUUCAGCGGGGAGGCGUUACCCGCAGAAGAAGCACCGGCUAACUCCGUGCCAGCAGCCGCGGUAAUUC
RNAcentral lists this ribosomal RNA (406 nucleotides) under uncultured bacterium. Its description in RNAcentral is "partial 16S ribosomal RNA". It matches the Rfam family "Bacterial small subunit ribosomal RNA", at positions 29 to 526 of the family's 1533-position model. The record is from RNAcentral.